Hibiscus syriacus is the source of this 375-nucleotide long non-coding RNA. RefSeq lists it as uncharacterized. The record is from RefSeq and is a predicted model, not a curated record. Lineage: Eukaryota; Viridiplantae; Streptophyta; Magnoliopsida; Malvales; Malvaceae. The transcript has 4 exons.
AGAACACUACUUGUACUCGAUUGUAUUCAUUUUUUAGUUUCAGUUAUGAAGAAAGGAUUGCACCCUCAGAUCCAAUGGAUAUCUUAUGUGACCCCAAGUGGUCGUUUAAUUAACUUCAUGAUGACAAAAAUACACAGUGUUGGUAAAGUUUAUCACUUGAGGGCUAAACGUCAAUUAGCUGCAACCGAAGGACAGAUUGCUAAGUUCAACCGUCGCUACGGGCUGGAGAAGCCGGAUGACACUGAGCACUCAGAGAAAAAUUAAAAAUAAAUUAUGGUUGUUUCUAAUACAAUGUUGAGUAUUUGCAGUUCGAUUUAAGCACCUAUGUUGUUGAAUAAUAUGAGCGUCAAUAGUUAAUCGAAUGUCAUUCGAUCU